CCUACGGGAGGCAGCAGUGGGGGAUAUUGCACAAUGGGGGAAACCCUGAUGCAGCGACGCCGCGUGGGCGAAGAAGUAUUUCGGUAUGUAAAGCCCUAUCAGCAGGGAAGAAGAAAUGACGGUACCUGAGUAAGAAGCACCGGCUAAAUACGUGCCAGCAGCCGCGGUAAUACGUAUGGUGCAAGCGUUAUCCGGAUUUACUGGGUGUAAAGGGAGCGCAGGCGGCACGGCAAGCCUGAUGUGAAAGCCCGCGGCCCAACCGCGGGACUGCAUUGGGAACUACCGGGCUGGAGUGCCGGAGAGGUAGGCGGAAUUCCUAGUGUAGCGGUGAAAUGCGGAGAUAUUAGGAGGAACACCAGUGGCGAAGGCGGCUUACUGGACUGUAACUGACGUUGAGGCUCGAAAGCGUGGGGAGCAAACAGGAUUAGAUACCCCGGUAGUC
RNAcentral lists this ribosomal RNA (442 nucleotides) under uncultured bacterium. RNAcentral describes it as "partial 16S ribosomal RNA". It matches the Rfam family "Bacterial small subunit ribosomal RNA", at positions 338 to 795 of the family's 1533-position model. The record is from RNAcentral.